This 253-nucleotide ribosomal RNA is filed under the name uncultured bacterium. Its description in RNAcentral is "partial 16S ribosomal RNA". It matches the Rfam family "Bacterial small subunit ribosomal RNA", at positions 524 to 776 of the family's 1533-position model. The record is from RNAcentral.
UACGAAGGGGGCUAGCGUUGCUCGGAAUCACUGGGCGUAAAGCGCACGUAGGGGGCUUUUUAAGUCAGGGGUGAAAUCCUGGAGCUCAACUCCAGAACUGCCUUUGAUACUGAGAAGCUUGAGUCCGGGAGAGGUGAGUGGAACUGCGAGUGUAGAGGUGAAAUUCGUAGAUAUUCGCAAGAACACCAGUGGCGAAGGCGGCUCACUGGCCCGGUACUGACGCUGAGGUGCGAAAGCGUGGGGAGCAAACAGG